RNAcentral lists this unclassified non-coding RNA (349 nucleotides) under soil metagenome. RNAcentral describes it as "partial contains 5.8S ribosomal RNA, internal transcribed spacer 2, and large subunit ribosomal RNA". The stretch from base 1 to 120 matches the Rfam family "5.8S ribosomal RNA", at positions 35 to 154 of the family's 154-position model. The record is from RNAcentral.
GAUGAAGAACGCAGCGAAAUGCGAUAAGUAGUGUGAAUUGCAGAAUUCAGUGAAUCAUCGAGUCUUUGAACGCACAUUGCGCCCCCUGGUAUUCCGGGGGGCAUGCCUGUCCGAGCGUCAUUGCUGCCCUCAAGCCCGGCUUGUGUGUUGGGUCGCCGUCCCCCUCUCCGGGGGGACGGGCCCGAAAGGCAGCGGCGGCACCGCGUCCGAUCCUCGAGCGUAUGGGGCUUUGUCACAUGCUCUGUAGGAUUGGCCGGCGCCUGCCGACGUUUUCCAACCAUUCUUUCCAGGUUGACCUCGGAUCAGGUAGGGAUACCCGCUGAACUUAAGCAUAUCAAUAAGCGGAGGA